RNA transcript from Malania oleifera, 1725 nucleotides. It is a transcript of the gene named RNA pseudouridine synthase 2, chloroplastic, with no coding region annotated. The record is from RefSeq and is a predicted model, not a curated record. NCBI's taxonomy places the organism in Eukaryota, Viridiplantae, Streptophyta, Magnoliopsida, Santalales, Ximeniaceae. The transcript has 10 exons.
CGCCACUGAACAGUCCUUUCAUCCACCAUAAAUGGUUUCAUUGUUUCGAUUUCCCUCCUUCUCUCAUUACGUCUGCUUGUACUCUGCAACGAAGCGGAAAGGAUGUUGUCCCUGAACGCAAUCCCUUCUUUAUCGGCCGUAUCCGCUCAGGCUCUCUUCUCUUCACCGUGUUUCCACUUCUUUCCUAGAAACCCUAGAACCAGCUGCUGCUCUAGAGUUUGCAGAGCCUUCGGUGUUUAUUCUGGCUAUCCUGAUGAUUCAUCUUCCGGUGAACGUGAAGAAUGCGUCGCCGGCCUGACAUCCAACUACGCCGGCCUCCGGUUGGAAGAGACUGUUGACAUUGAGGCAGGCAAGCUCAGGCUCGAUUCUUGGAUAUCAUCUCGCAUUUCCGGCGUAAGUAGAGCUCGUGUGCAAUCAAGCAUUCGGUUCGGGCUCGUCAGUGUUAAUGGCAGGGUUGUUGAUAAGGUUUCUCAUGCGGUUAGACCUGGAGAUAAGGUUAAAUGCACAGUAUCAGAAUUACAACCCUUAAGGGCUGAAGCAGAAGAUAUACCUUUGGAUAUAGUUUAUGAAGAUGACUGCGUACUGGUUGUAAACAAGCCUCCUCACAUGGUUGUUCAUCCAGCACCUGGCAAUGCUACUGGUACACUUGUCAAUGGCAUUCUUCACCAUUGCAGUCUUCCCACUGUUGCAUACUCUGACAAGGAAGUACUUUGUGAGGCAGGAGAUAUUUCUGAUAAUGAGCUGAGUGACUUUUCUAUAGAUCAAGUUGGAAUUAGUUACAGUACAUUGGGAGGUUCUGUUCGCCCAGGAAUUGUGCAUAGGUUGGACAAAGGCACUAGUGGACUGCUUGUUGUUGCAAAGGUGACCCCCAAAGCAGCACAAUUUAAUGAAAAUGAGCAUUCUCAUGCCCAUUUAUGUGAACAAUUCAAACUACGCACCAUCCACAGAGUAUAUGUUAGUCUUACUUCUGGAGUGCCCUCCCCAACCUCAGGACGUGUUGAUAUCCCAAUAGGCCGUGAUUUAAGUAAUCGGAUUCGUAUGACUGCUGCUUCUGGAUCUAGUAAUUGCGGCCAGGCCCGUCAUGCUGCUAGUAGGUAUAAAGUAAUUGAAACACUUGCUGGCGGUGGAUCUGCAUUAGUUGAGUGGAGAUUAGAAACUGGGCGCACUCAUCAGAUACGUGCACAUGCAAAGUACCUGGGAAUUCCUCUUUUAGGAGAUGAGGUGUAUGGAGGUUCUAAGAGCAUGGCCCUGUCAUUGCUGCAGCCCAGAACUCCGCCUAGCUGCAAUGAUCUACUUCUGCAACUGGUUUCAAGAUUAGAGAGGCCUUGCCUCCAUGCAGUGGCUCUUGGGUUUAAGCACCCACACACUGGAGAGAGCCUAAAUUUAUCUUGCUCACCCCCUAAGGAUUUCACUGAGAUUUUAGGCCAAUUACGUAAGAUUAGCAAAAUCAGCAAUGGAUAAGAGCAUAAAAGGGAUGCUGCGAGAUUUACCACAUGUCAUGCAAAGUGCAGAGUAUCUGAAGCAAACUUUAGAAAGAGAACUUUGGUUAGCAUGAAGUUAGCAGGAAAAGAAGGAUUGCAUUAUUAUUAACAUUACUCUCAGACUUGCUAGGCAAAAUUUACAUGUUGAUAUGCGAUGAUAUGGAUUGUCAGAAGCACGGUAAUUUGGUAUGAAAGAAGCAGCCUUGAAUUCAAAUAAUAUCUUGUAUGGAGGAAAACACAUCAA